Suricata suricatta (meerkat) is the source of this 2565-nucleotide RNA transcript. It is a transcript of the gene named phosphoinositide-3-kinase interacting protein 1, with no coding region annotated. The transcript is spliced from 8 exons. The record is from RefSeq and is a predicted model, not a curated record. NCBI's taxonomy places the organism in Eukaryota, Metazoa, Chordata, Mammalia, Carnivora, Herpestidae.
CAGGUCUGAAUGCAAGGCUGGGGCUGAGAGGCAGAACCGACGCCAACAGGACCCCCUGGACAUUGGUUGGUCAAUCACCUGCAAGACGAAGGAGAUGAGGAUGCUUUUGGCCUGGGUGCAAACACUCCUCAUUAGCAACAUGCUCCUAGAAGCUUAUGGAUCUGGAGGCUGCUUCUGGGACAAGGGCCACCUGUACCGGGCGGACCAGCCCUCCCCAGCGCCGGGCCUUCGAUGUCUCAACUGGCUGGAGGCGCAGAACGGCCUGACUUCUGACCCUGAGUCCGACGCCGGCAACCACAGCUAUUGCCGGAACCCGGACCAGGACCCUCGCGGGCCCUGGUGCUACGUCAAGGGCGAAGCCGGCGCUCCCAAGAAGUGGCCUUGCGAGGACCUGCACUGCCCAGAGACCACCAUCCAGUCCCCUUCAACCUCCACAACAGAAACUGAGGAAGCGUCUGAAGUGCCAAGUGGAGAUGAGGUGCAGGUGUUCGCUCCUGCCAACGCCCUGCCUGCCCGGAGUGAGGCAGCAGCUGUGCAGCCAGUGAUUGGGAUCAGCCAGCGGGUGCGGGUGAACUCCAAGGAGAAAAAAGACCUGGGAACCCUGGGCUAUGUGCUGGGCAUUACCAUGAUGGUGAUCAUCAUCGCCAUUGGAGCUGGCAUCGUCUUGGGCUACACCUACAAGAGUGCAACUUGGAAGGUCAUACAAGAUAAAGACUGAAGAGCAGCCAGUGGACUGACCAAUGUGGCUAGCCCCUGCAUAGGCAUUACAAAUCACUUCUCAAAAGAGAAAGCUCAGAGUAUGUUCAUGAUCCCAAGAAAGAAGACCUUCAAGAGUUCCCAGGAGCCUUCAGGAUGAACAUGAAGCAGUGGCUGGCAAAAACAGAAGGACAGACCCACUUACCGGAAGCAAGAGCUGUGCCAGGCUUCGUUGACAGUCCUGUACCACCUCUGGCUUGGAGCAACGUGGUCCCCACAGCCCCGACACCUCCAGGCAUCUUCACCUACACACAAAACCAGGGGAUUCAGAGGCCCAAAGUAGCAGGGGGCACAGGGGUGGGAUUCCUACCAUGCAGAAUAAGUGAGUCAACAGACAUAUUGAAAGGGUGGUCCAGUGCUCUGCUAAAUACACAAUCCCCUCCUCCACGAGAUCUUGGGUAAGCACUUAUCCAGCUUGCUCAUCUCCCUAGAGACAGAGAAUUCAUGACUUCAAAAGUAGGUCUCAUUCCAUUUUUUAGUGAUGGUUCUGAUUAUUCCUCUUUCCACGAAACCUGCCUUUUCCUAGAACUUUUGGCCCUUGUUUAUUAUAGCUCUGAGUGAUGAAAUGAACAAGGUCUCUUUCUUUUGACUUCCUAUGACUGUUCCUAAUCAGCACCCACAAAAUCUUCUCUGGGUUAAACAUGUUAUUGCCUUAUCCUAUUCCGUUCCAUCACUGAGUUCAGGACCUCACUCAUUCAACCAACAUCAUAGGUCGGUCCUCUUGUUGAUCCUCUCCAAGCUCUAUGUUGGAGACUGCUGGAUAACAUCAUCUCUGUUCUUUAAAGAGCAAAUCCACUGAAAAAGAACCCUUCUUCACUGUUAUAAUUUUUCCCUUAGAAGAAACAAAGUGCUAUUUUAGUUGGGAGAAAGAAAUUAUGGGUAUAGAAAGGAAAAACAUGUUCCUCCUAAAUACCAAGCCUUUUACUAGCUGCUUUCACAGACCCAAUUACAUUUAAUUCUCAAAACAAUACUGUGAAACAGGUAUUAAACUCAUUUAAUGGUUGGAAGAACUGAAACCUAGGGCUAAGGGGUAACAGGCCAAACAGCAGGUUUAGCAUUCCAACUCAGGCCCAACUCAUCCUAAAGCCCAUAUUCUUUCCACUCCACCAUAUUAAUUUCUGCUCAUUCCACUUAGGGGAGUCAGAAAAAUCUUUGUAAAGGAAGCUAAUACUUGAGCUAAACCUUGAAGGAUGGAGUAGAUUUGCCAGAGGCUGAGAAAGAAUGGGGAAGGGCUGUAUAGGCUGAGAGAUUGCAUGGGCAAUAACACAGAGUGAAUCCAUGUCCCUCCUAAAGGAACAAAACGCAAUACUCCUGCUGUGGCUCAGAUGCCAACUUCUUGAAAUAAAGAAGGCAGCUGAGAUCAAGCUGUGGUACCUGACUCAGCCCUAGAAAGCAGGACAAGGUUGUUACAAGACUCCCUUGUACACUCCAUGUAUGCAGCUUUGUUCUCUCUGGGUAACUCCAGACUGCCACAGGCACGGUGACAGUCACUGAACCCUGUUUCACAGGCACAGGGGUCAUGAAUAAACAAUGCACGGCUCCAGACACUUCAAGAUUGCUCAGCAGCAUUCUGGGGCAACCAGGACACACAGACAGUUCUCCUUACAACCCUCCAGAGAAGAGUUAAACAAGCUGGCAGAAGGCUUUAAAGCCUUGACCCACCUGCUCCUCUUCCCCAGUUCCAUAGUGAUAGGACAUAUAUGCCCAUCACCACCUGAAUCUAAAAUUCUCAGAUUUUCAGGGCGCCUGGGUGGCUCAGUCGGUUAAGCAUCCAACUUCAGCUCAGGUCAUGAUCUCACAGUUUGAGAA